AAUUGAUGGCCCAGAAGUCUCCAGCAGCUACCAAAUCUCCAGGGGCACAAUUCGAGAAGCAAGGCAGAACCCCAGACAAGCCCGUUUUCUCUGAUACGAUGCCAGCGUUGUCUCUGAUUGCUGGGGCUUCUGGUGGGCUGAACACGUGGGGCACCAGGGAUGAGAGCGCUCCUCCGCACGUCCCGCCUCUGAGCUCGCCCAGCGCGUUCCGGCAGCGCUUGAGGGACUGGCUGCCUUCCAGCGYGGCAGGGAGGAGACGGGGCAAAGGAGCAGGCCGCCGCUUCCAGGCUGAAAGCCACAGGUGUGCCCCGGCUCACGCAGCGUYGUGUGGGGCUGUUUCCACUGAUCAGGACCCUUCAGCCUCGAAAAGGGAGGGCACAAGAGGGAGGAGGAAAAAAGCUGACAAAAUCAAGGCGGGAACCCAACUCUUCCCUGUACGUGAGCAUGGCCCUGUCAAAAAGCAGCAGGCUCCAGACAGGCGAAAGGGGCAGCUCUUCCCCCGUGACGCAGUCAAGCUGCAGCCUCCGAGCUCUGGGAACACAGAGAAUGGCUUAAAAAUGUACAGGCAAAAAGCAACAGGACAAAUUCACCAUAGAAAUUGGAAGAAAUUAAAUCGGGUCCCACUCCCUCUUCUGCAAGUCCCCCAGCUACAAAGUCUUGGCAGAUGGGAGGGUAUCGCUUCCCGAUCGCUCUGCUCCUGCUCUCUGCUGCAGGCGUCGAGGCAGAGGCACUGGUCACUCCAUACGGGCAGAGCCACAUCGGGCAYCACGGUGUCACAAGGCGAGAGGCUCGGGCAGAUCCUGGACAUCAGCCUCCCAGCAUCCUCAUCAGUGCUGUGGAGGAAGAGUGUUUCUGAACCAAAGCUCUCCGACAGAGAUCCUCAGGAUUUGCCUCAGGAUUUGUCAGGCUGCAGUGUGAAGCAUCUUCCUGAGCUAGACAUAUUUGUUUGUCGAUAUUUAAUCUGCCAACAAAACUGGUGCGUGACCAAAUUGAAUAUUUAAUUUAAUUUACACUAACCAGAAGCUGGACAGCAUUUUAUCCGAUGGAAAAUGUUUGCAGCCCUUUCUUUCCUUUUAACUGAUUUUUUCAUGAAAAGUUGUUGAUUUUUUUCUUGGGAUUUGUUCACAUCUUUUUUGUUUUUUUCCUUGUGAUGCUGUUAUGGUCUGUGUUGAGGAUGAUUUUCAUUUACCAGCACAGGAGUUCAAUGAAUGAGCUAUUUGAAUAACC
This 1227-nucleotide long non-coding RNA is filed under the name Dromaius novaehollandiae (emu). Its description in RNAcentral is "lncRNA (ENSDNVG00000007505.1)". Lineage: Eukaryota; Metazoa; Chordata; Aves; Casuariiformes; Dromaiidae. The record is from RNAcentral.